RNAcentral lists this long non-coding RNA (1356 nucleotides) under Capra hircus (goat). Its description in RNAcentral is "lncRNA (ENSCHIG00010017305.1)". Lineage: Eukaryota; Metazoa; Chordata; Mammalia; Artiodactyla; Bovidae. The record is from RNAcentral.
GACUCAGCUUUAACAACUUAUUAGCAGAUAUCCAAUAAACUAGGUGCUAAACAUUUGGAGAUGAAACUUUCCUGAAAAAUAUUUAAAUACUAGAACUUCUAGAAUAUUGAAAUUUCAUUUAAGCUCUUCAUUAUGCCACCACUUCUUAAUAUUCUGAGAGAUGUGAUACUGUAUAUAAAGAUUAGAAAGCAUUUCAUUGUUAUAAAUUAAAAUUAUCAGAUUUUAAUGUAAAAGAGAUUUUUUUUUUUUCCCAGAAUUCAGGUGAAAUGUUUUGUCAUGACCAGGGACAUGGAGGAAGUUAGGGGGAAAAAUGUACAUUGAGGACUUAAUAUGCAUUUACCGAAUUCUAAAGUCUGAAGUGAAAUACAUAAUUUAAUCCAUGCCAAACUUCCUGCUCGUUACCUAUAUUGUAGUCACUCAGCACAGAUGAAAAUCAGAAUUUUAUAUCAUGUCUGUCCCCAUAGAUGCUUGAUUUCUAGUCUUGGUUGCUAUUAUUCUUUUUAUUCUAUUUGUGAUCUGAGUACUUUUAGGAUUAAAUUUUGCAAAUGGGAUCAUACCACUCUUUUUUAUUGGCAUAAAAUUCCCAAGGUGCUCCUCUCAGACUUUCAUUUAACGAUUAGAACAAAAUUAGAUGAAAGAGCUCAGUGAACCUUCUGUUUCUUUGUCAUCCUUAGAACAGGUACUUGAGAUGACAAAAUGCAAAGAUGGUCUCUGUUAAAAAAAACCCCAACAAAACGCAAAAACCCUUUGUCUUCAGGUAUGUAGCCACAAAGAACCUCAUAACUACUGUUGAUCUGAAAGAUAUGGGGUAGAUGCUCCGAGUUGUCAAGGAGGGCCUUUCUUGGCUUGGAAUAACCCUGGAUAUGGUACAUGCAGAUUCUGGCAGUGUGAUUCUACAUAUAUAAAUAGUACUGAGCCAGAGCAACUGGAUUUUUUUUUUUUUUUUACCAUUUUCUUUUUUAGACCCUAAUGCUGCAAAAUAAACAAUCAUAUGGUCUCAUCAUUAAGCAAUCCAGUUCUUCUCUAUGGAUAUUGAGCAGGAGUGACUGGAGGGAGCCCGGGGUCCAGAAGCCAGCAGAGCCACUGGUCAAGCUAGAACCAUCCCUCUUCCCCCGACUGCUAAGUGACCAAGCAACACACAGUUUGUUUUUACCCCCCAUGUGUGCAAUCUCAGCCCCCCGAUGCUUGAGUGUCAUCUCAAAAAUACCAAACCUCUUAUUUUCUAUGGCAAAUGUCACCUCUGCUUGUGAAGUAAGAAAAAGUAGAACCCUGUUGAGGAAAAAACAAAUGCCAUUCAGGCCUACAAGUACGACUUCAGUGGGGCCACUGCUUGCCAAGUGGCAUCCAGGGAGGUAG